Molecule: ribosomal RNA, 253 nt
Filed under: uncultured bacterium
Lineage: Bacteria
Description: partial 16S ribosomal RNA
Rfam family: Bacterial small subunit ribosomal RNA
Source: RNAcentral
UACGGGGGGGGCAAGCGUUGUUCGGAAUUACUGGGCGUAAAGGGCUCGUAGGCGGCCAACUAAGUCAGACGUGAAAUCCCUCGGCUUAACCGGGGAACUGCGUCUGAUACUGGAUGGCUUGAGUUUGGGAGAGGGAUGCGGAAUUCCAGGUGUAGCGGUGAAAUUCGUAGAUAUCGAGAGGAACACCGGUGGCGAAGGCGGCGAUCUGGACGAUGACUGACGCUGAGACGCGAAAGCGUGGGGAGCAAACAGG